Molecule: ribosomal RNA, 384 nt
Filed under: uncultured Glomus
Lineage: Eukaryota; Fungi; Glomeromycota; Glomeromycetes; Glomerales; Glomeraceae
Description: SSU rRNA
Rfam family: Eukaryotic small subunit ribosomal RNA
Source: RNAcentral
AGCAGCCGCGGUAAUUCCAGCUCCAAUAGCGUAUAUUAAAGUUGUUGCAGUUAAAAAGCUCGUAGUUGAAUUUCGGGACCAAUAUGUCGGUCGUGCCUCGGUACGUACUGGUGUCAUUGGUUUCUCCCUUCUGAGGAUCCUUGAUGUCAUUAAUUUGGUGUCUUGGGGAAUCAGGACUGUUACCUUGAAAAAUUAGAGUGUUUAAAGCAGGCAUACGCUUGAAUACAUUAGCAUGGAAUAAUGAAAUAGGACGUUCGAUUCUAUUUUGUUGGUUUCUAGGAUCGACGUAAUGAUUAAUAGGGAUAGUUGGGGGCAUUAGUAUUCAAUUGUCAGAGGUGAAAUUCUUGGAUUUAUUGAAGACUAACUACUGCGAAAGCAUUUGCC